Molecule: long non-coding RNA, 220 nt
Filed under: Elaeis guineensis (African oil palm)
Lineage: Eukaryota; Viridiplantae; Streptophyta; Magnoliopsida; Arecales; Arecaceae
Description: long non-coding RNA (EGUI_LNC062698)
Source: RNAcentral
CCCUCGAUAAGGAGUCCAAAUCUCAUCAGAAAUCUAAGCACAUCGAGCGGUAGUUCACAUUAUACAUGACUACCUCAAGAUGAAAUACGUCAAGGUGUGAAGAGUAGACUCCAUGGACAAUGUGAUUGACCUACUGAUGAAGCAGUUGGGCCAGCAGAAGAUUGAAGUCCAUCUUGAAAAGAUGGAUCUUAAGUAUAUGGCUAAUUGGCUUUAGAUCAAG